UGGCAGGCGGCUCCUGCAGCUGCAAAGCCUGCAGAUGCACCUCCUGCAAGAAGAGCUGCUGCCCCUGCUGCCCCGUGGGCUGCGCCAAGUGUGCCCAGGGCUGCGUCUGCAAAGGGGCCUCGGACAAGUGCAGCUGCUGUGCCUGAUGUCGCGGACAGCCUGCCCCGGGUGUAAAUAGAGCAACGUGUACAAACCUACAUUCCUCUUUUUUUUUUCCUAUAAAAUAAGAAAAUGAUAAUAAAAGUGGUUGGCUUUA
Kogia breviceps (pygmy sperm whale) is the source of this 256-nucleotide non-coding RNA. NCBI's taxonomy places the organism in Eukaryota, Metazoa, Chordata, Mammalia, Artiodactyla, Physeteridae. The record is from RefSeq and is a predicted model, not a curated record.